UAAGACGAACCGUGCGAACGUUGUUCGGAAUCACUGGGCUUAAAGGGCGCGUAGGCGGGCUCCCAAGUCCGGGGUGAAAUCUUUCGGCUCAACCGGAAAACAGCCUUGGAUACUGGGGGCCUCGAGCGAGGUAGGGGCAGCUGGAACUUCCGGUGGAGCGGUGAAAUGCGUUGAUAUCGGAAGGAACGCCGGUGGCGAAAGCGAGCUGCUGGACCUCUUCUGACGCUGAGGCGCGAAAGCCAGGGGAGCAAACGGGAUUAGAUACCCCGGUAGUCCUGGCCCUAAACGAUGAGGACUAGGUAGUGGACUAGACAUGGGUUCCCUGCCGAAGCUAAAGUGCUAAGUCCUCCGCCUGGGGAGUAUGGUCGCAAGGCUG
This 376-nucleotide ribosomal RNA is filed under the name uncultured bacterium. Its description in RNAcentral is "bacterial SSU rRNA". It matches the Rfam family "Bacterial small subunit ribosomal RNA", at positions 521 to 896 of the family's 1533-position model. The record is from RNAcentral.